RNAcentral lists this ribosomal RNA (487 nucleotides) under uncultured Turicibacter sp. RNAcentral describes it as "bacterial SSU rRNA". It matches the Rfam family "Bacterial small subunit ribosomal RNA", at positions 8 to 507 of the family's 1533-position model. Lineage: Bacteria; Bacillati; Bacillota; Erysipelotrichia; Erysipelotrichales; Turicibacteraceae. The record is from RNAcentral.
AGAGUUUGAUCCUGGCUCAGGAUGAACGCUGGCGGCGUGCCUAAUACAUGCAAGUCGAGCGAACCACUUCGGUGGGAAGCGGCGAACGGGUGAGUAACACGUAGGUGAUCUGCCCAUCAGACGGGGACAACGAUUGGAAACGAUCGCUAAUACCGGAUAGGACGAAAGUUUAAAGAUGCUCCUGGCAUCACUGAUGGAUGAGCCUGCGGCGCAUUAGCUAGUUGGUGGGGUAAAGGCCUACCAAGGCGACGAUGCGUAGCCGACCUGAGAGGGUGAACGGCCACACUGGGACUGAGACACGGCCCAGACUCCUACGGGAGGCAGCAGUAGGGAAUCUUCGGCAAUGGGCGAAAGCCUGACCGAGCAACGCCGCGUGAAUGAAGAAGGCCUUCGGGUUGUAAAAUUCUGUUAUAAGGGAAGAAAGGUGAUAGGAGGAAAUGACUAUCAAUUGACGGUACCUUAUGAGAAAGCCGCGGCUAACUACGUG